CUCAAUUUUCCAAUUUUGCACAGCCUUGAUAAUGGUUCUUUUUUAGGGUUCUCCUCUGAUUUGAAAUUUGAGAGGCUCUGACAGGAUUCGAAUACAACUGGUGUGAGAUUUGUGAUGAGGGCGGUCUAGUUGUUGGCUGGUGUGAUUUUGGGAGCGAUUGGGUGAACUAGGUUUUUUGGCUCGAAUCUUCGAUUAAAGAUUCAAGAAGACGGAUGAUGAUUCGAGGUUAAUGGGUAAGGGAUUCGUGUUGAGGAUGAUGAGGAGGUUAAGGGGUGUUAGUUUGGUGGUGGUCGGAACUCAGGCUGCCGGGUUUCAAGCUUCGGGUUUCCAUGGCGGCUGCUAGGGUUUGGGUGAGCCUGGUUUGUUUUUGAGAGAGACGAUGGAGAGUGAGGGUUGGCUAUGGGUCGUGGGGUAUGAGAUAGGGUUUAUAUACGGGGGUGGACAUUAGAUCCUGACUGUUGGAUAAAGUUGGAUUGAUGUCC
RNAcentral lists this long non-coding RNA (482 nucleotides) under Nicotiana benthamiana. RNAcentral's name for it is "long non-coding RNA (NBEN_LNC032698)". The record is from RNAcentral. Lineage: Eukaryota; Viridiplantae; Streptophyta; Magnoliopsida; Solanales; Solanaceae.